AACGAACGCUGGCGGCAGGCCUAACACAUGCAAGUCGAACGCCGUAGCAAUACGGAGUGGCAGACGGGUGAGUAACACGUGGGAACGUACCCUUUGGUUCGGAAUAACUCAGGGAAACUUGAGCUAAUACCGGAUAAGCGCGAGAGCGGAAAGAUUUAUCGCCGAAGGAUCGGCCCGCGUCCGAUUAGCUAGUUGGUGAGGUAAUGGCUCACCAAGGCGACGAUCGGUAGCUGGUCUGAGAGGAUGAUCAGCCACACUGGGACUGAGACACGGCCCAGACUCCUACGGGAGGCAGCAGUGGGGAAUAUUGGACAAUGGGCGCAAGCCUGAUCCAGCCAUGCCGCGUGAGUGAUGAAGGCCCUAGGGUUGUAAAGCUCUUUCGUCAGGGACGGUAAUGACGGUACCUGAAGAAGAAGCCCCGGCUAACUUCGUG
RNAcentral lists this ribosomal RNA (433 nucleotides) under uncultured bacterium. RNAcentral's name for it is "bacterial SSU rRNA". It matches the Rfam family "Bacterial small subunit ribosomal RNA", at positions 29 to 507 of the family's 1533-position model. The record is from RNAcentral.